CGCUAAAAGUAUCACGCGUCUAACUGAGAGGAGGAGGAGGCCUAGGAGAGGCAUCAGGCUCCGGCAGAGCAACCUUCUGAUCGAUGCGAUAACCCUGAUGAUGCAACAAUCCUGAUGAUCUGAGAGGAGGAGCAGGCCUAGGAGAGGCAUCCUGCACCAGCGGAACAACCUGAUGACAACGAGCUUCGAUAAUAACAACUCCGCUGUUGCGCAUCUGUGCCGGUGAGUGAACAAAAACUUUUACUUUGAAGUAACGGAUUCGUAGAGAUUGUAGAUGUAGAUGUAUAUGUAGAUUGUAGAUUGUAGAUUGUAGGUAAAUCCGUUGCUUUAAAAUGGAUGAGUUAGGAUAGAUUGAA
Molecule: long non-coding RNA, 356 nt
Organism: Camponotus floridanus (Florida carpenter ant)
Lineage: Eukaryota; Metazoa; Arthropoda; Insecta; Hymenoptera; Formicidae
Exons: 3
Source: RefSeq, a predicted model, not a curated record